This 375-nucleotide ribosomal RNA is filed under the name uncultured bacterium. RNAcentral describes it as "bacterial SSU rRNA". It matches the Rfam family "Bacterial small subunit ribosomal RNA", at positions 355 to 726 of the family's 1533-position model. The record is from RNAcentral.
UGAGGAAUAUUGGACAAUGGAGGCAACUCUGAUCCAGCCAUGCCGCGUGAAGGACUAAGGCCCUAUGGGCUGUAAACUUCUUUAGACGCAGAGCAAUAAGGGCCACGCGUGGUCCGAUGAGAGUAUGCGUAGAAUAAGCAUCGGCUAACUCCGUGCCAGCAGCCGCGGUAAUACGGGGGGAUGCGAGCGUUAUCCGGAUUCAUUGGGUUUAAAGGGUGCGUAGGCGGCUUUGCAAGUCAGCGGUGAAAGGCCCGGGCUCAACCCGGAAAGUGCCGUUGAUACUGUGAGGCUGGAAUGCGGAUGCUGUGGGAGGAAUGAGUGGUGUAGCGGUGAAAUGCGUAGAUAUUAGGAGGAACACCAGUGGCGAAGGCGACU